CGAGGGGGGCAAGCGUUGUCCGGAUUUAUUGGGCGUAAAGAGCGUGUAGGCGGCCAUGUAGGUCCGGUGUGAAAACUCGAGGCUUAACCUCGAGAUGUCAUCGGAAACCAUUUGGCUAGAGUCCGGAAGAGGAGAGUGGAAUUCCUGGUGUAGCGGUGAAAUGCGCAGAUAUCAGGAAGAACACCAAUGGCGAAAGCAGCUCUCUGGGACGGUACUGACGCUGAGACGCGAAAGCGUGGGGAGCGAACAGG
RNAcentral lists this ribosomal RNA (251 nucleotides) under uncultured bacterium. RNAcentral's name for it is "partial 16S ribosomal RNA". It matches the Rfam family "Bacterial small subunit ribosomal RNA", at positions 526 to 776 of the family's 1533-position model. The record is from RNAcentral.